AAGGAUUUAAGUUAAGGGUAAACUAAUAACCUUCAAAGUUAUCAAUAGAAAAUUUCUAAGCCUUA
This 65-nucleotide transfer RNA is filed under the name Henosepilachna vigintioctopunctata. Its description in RNAcentral is "tRNA-Trp". The record is from RNAcentral. Lineage: Eukaryota; Metazoa; Arthropoda; Insecta; Coleoptera; Coccinellidae.